AUUGAACGCUGGCGGCAUGCUUUACACAUGCAAGUCGGACGGCAGCACAGAGAAGCUUGCUUCUUGGGUGGCGAGUGGCGAACGGGUGAGUAAUAUAUCGGAACGUACCGAGUAAUGGGGGAUAACUAAUCGAAAGAUUAGCUAAUACCGCAUAUUCUCUGAGGAGGAAAGCAGGGGACCUUCGGGCCUUGCGUUAUUCGAGCGGCCGAUAUCUGAUUAGCUAGUUGGUGGGGUAAAGGCCUACCAAGGCGACGAUCAGUAGCGGGUCUGAGAGGAUGAUCCGCCACACUGGGACUGAGACACGGCCCAGACUCCUACGGGAGGCAGCAGUGGGGAAUUUUGGACAAUGGGCGCAAGCCUGAUCCAGCCAUGCCGCGUGUCUGAAGAAGGCCUUCGGGUUGUAAAGGACUUUUGUCAGGGAAGAAAAGGCUGUUGCUAAUACCGACAGCUGAUGACGGUACCUGAAGAAUAAGCACCGGCUAACUACGUGCCAGCAGCCGCGGUAAUACGUAGGGUGCGAGCGUUAAUCGGAAUUACUGGGCGUAAAGCGAGCGCAGACGGUUACUUAAGCAGGAUGUGAAAUCCCCGGGCUCAACCUGGGAACUGCGUUCUGAACUGGGUGACUAGAGUGUGUCAGAGGGAGGUAGAAUUCCACGUGUAGCAGUGAAAUGCGUAGAGAUGUGGAGGAAUACCGAUGGCGAAGGCAGCCUCCUGGGAUAACACUGACGUUCAUGCUCGAAAGCGUGGGUAACAAACAGG
This 759-nucleotide ribosomal RNA is filed under the name Neisseria subflava. Its description in RNAcentral is "bacterial SSU rRNA". It matches the Rfam family "Bacterial small subunit ribosomal RNA", at positions 28 to 776 of the family's 1533-position model. The record is from RNAcentral. Lineage: Bacteria; Pseudomonadati; Pseudomonadota; Betaproteobacteria; Neisseriales; Neisseriaceae.